This 460-nucleotide ribosomal RNA is filed under the name uncultured bacterium. Its description in RNAcentral is "partial 16S ribosomal RNA". It matches the Rfam family "Bacterial small subunit ribosomal RNA", at positions 338 to 795 of the family's 1533-position model. The record is from RNAcentral.
CCUACGGGUGGCAGCAGUGAGGAAUAUUGGUCAAUGGGCGGAAGCCUGAACCAGCCAAGUAGCGUGCAGGAUGACGGCCCUACGGGUUGUAAACUGCUUUUAUACGGGAAUAACGCGCCUUACGUGUAGGGUUUUGCAUGUACCGUAUGAAUAAGGACCGGCUAAUUCCGUGCCAGCCGCCGCGGUAAUACGGAAGGUCCGGGCGUUAUCCGGAUUUAUUGGGUUUAAAGGGAGCGUAGGUGGGUUGUUAAGCAUGCUGUGAAAUGUCCGGGCUCAACCCGGGCCUUGCAGCGCGAACUGGCCGGCUUGAGUCCGCGGCAAGCAGGCGGAAUUCGUCGUGUAGCGGUGAAAUGCUUAGAUAUGACGAAGAACCCCGAUUGCGAAGGCAGCUUGCUGCAGCGGAACUGACGCUGAUGCUCGAAAGCGCGGGUAUCGAACAGGAUUAGAUACCCCGGUAGUC